Molecule: ribosomal RNA, 253 nt
Filed under: uncultured prokaryote
Description: partial 16S ribosomal RNA
Rfam family: Bacterial small subunit ribosomal RNA
Source: RNAcentral
ACGAAGGGGGCUAGCGUUGCUCGGAAUUACUGGGCGUAAAGGGCGCGUAGGCGGGCGAUUAAGUUGGGGGUGAAAUCCCAGGGCUCAACCCUGGAACUGCCUCCAAAACUGGUCGUCUUGAGUAUGGGAGAGGUGUGUGGAACUCCGAGUGUAGAGGUGAAAUUCGUAGAUAUUCGGAAGAACACCAGUGGCGAAGGCGACACACUGGCCCAUUACUGACGCUGAGGCGCGAAAGCGUGGGGAGCAAACAGGA